GACGAACGCUGGCGGCGUGCUUAACACAUGCAAGUCGAACGGAAAGGCCCUGCUUUUGUGGGGUGCUCGAGUGGCGAGCGGGUGAGUAACACGUGAGUAACCUGCCCUUGACUUUGGGAUAACUUCAGGAAACUGGGGCUAAUACCGGAUAGGAGCUCCUGCUGCAUGGUGGGGGUUGGAAAGUUUCGGCGGUUGGGGAUGGACUCGCGGCUUAUCAGCUGGUUGGUGGGGUAGUGGCUUACCAAGGCUUUGACGGGUAGCCGGCCUGGGUGGGUGACCGGCCCCAUGGGGACGGGGAUACGGCCAGGACUCCAACGGGAGGCAGAAGGGGGGAAUAUUGAACAAGGGGCGGAAGCCGGAGGCAGCAACGCCGCGUGCGGGAUGACGGCCUUGGGGUUGUAAACCGCUUUCGCAGGUGACGAAGCGUGAGUGACGGUAAUGGGUAAAGAAGCACCGGCUAACUACGUG
RNAcentral lists this ribosomal RNA (468 nucleotides) under uncultured bacterium. RNAcentral's name for it is "partial 16S ribosomal RNA". It matches the Rfam family "Bacterial small subunit ribosomal RNA", at positions 28 to 507 of the family's 1533-position model. The record is from RNAcentral.